Cicer arietinum (chickpea) is the source of this 2089-nucleotide non-coding RNA. Lineage: Eukaryota; Viridiplantae; Streptophyta; Magnoliopsida; Fabales; Fabaceae. The record is from RefSeq and is a predicted model, not a curated record.
GAAACCCUAAAACUUGUUUUCUUUCUCACCUUAAAAACUCCCCCUUUCCUUCUCAACCCAGAAACUCAACCUUUCUUUCUCAACACGAUCAAUUUUUCUCACCACCACAAACAAUUAGUUCCUCUUUCUUUCUCAACCUACCACAAAUCCUAAAACUAUUCAUCUCAUGCUAAUCCCAUAUUACCGUCAUUUCAUCACGAUUCACAAUCGUGAAACCAACUAGUUUGAAUUUUAUCUGUUGCUAACCAUCCUCUCACCGCCAUUCAUCACGAAACCAUCCUUUGUUGCUAAUCUCCUCUCAAACCAACCUCCACAACUGCGACAUGAAGUCAACAGGUUCUCUUAAAUCGGUAGACUACAACUGCGACAUGAAGCCCUCAUUGUUUGUCGUCUCGUCGACUAUCAUGAACCAUAAGGCAUUCUAUAAUUCUGGAAUAGCAAGGAGGCUGAACAAUUUUCUUGUACAAGAUAUAAGAAGGAUUUGAAUGGCAUCCCUCCUAGUCAUUUAGAUUUGUUUCUCCACACACAUAAACGUGGCAAGGAUAAAACUUGGGUUGAUAAAAGAUCGGAAUAUGUUCAUAUAAGAGCUUUCAACUUUAAAGUGAAAAAUUUAAACGUAGGUUGGAAGAAUUGACAAAGAAACAACUUCACAAGGAACUCCCCCACCAAAUGAAUUAGAAGUGUGGUGUGAGGUUGCGGGAAUAAAAAGAGGACGAACAUAUGGUCUCAGAAUGGAAUCUACUGUAUUAUUAGGGAGACCAUAUUAUCGUGAGUCAUGUUCUUCAUCAACAGAGUGGGUUCAAAGACGUGAAUUUGAAGAAAUGAGAAAUGAAAGAGAUCAACAAAGACAUGAAUUUGAAGAAAUGAGAAAUGAAAGAGAUCAACUUUGAGAGGAUCAACUGAUGAAUAUCUUGAAUUUUAAACCCAUGCCAUAUACUAGAGAUCAAAUUCCUAAAGAUGGGAUUGGUGAUAAUGAUGAUGAGAUUGGUGAUCAUGAUGCUGUUGAUUUUGAUGAUGAGAUUCGUGAUAAUAAUGCUAGUGAUCAUGAUGAUGAAGAGUUAGAUGGAUUGUGAUAAUUUAAUCUGAAAAAACAAAUAUAUUGCAAUUUGUUAUAACUAAAUAUAUGAAAGAUGAUGAAAGAUGAUGAAAAAUACAAUUUAUAGACCCUUUUCUCAUCAACAUGAUCCAAUAUACCAAUACAUUCAAAAGAAAGAGCAUAAGAGUAAGGGUGUGCAGUGGCGAUAGGAUAGUAAUCAAGUCCAAUCCAAGCCUCAUGCUAUUGGUGGUGAUGGUGGUAACACCUAUAGCCAUCAUCAUCAUCGAGUGAGUUUUGUGAGUGAAACACCACGUAGGGGGGCAUUUGUGGACUUUCGUGAGUUCGUGGAGGGGGCAAAGGAAAAAGUCGGAUUACCUCACAAAAUUCACUAGGUUAAAUGGUACUUAGUGUGUAGGCCAUGGGAGAAGAGGGCUUGGGUAUGUAGAACUUAAGAAUUUUUAAUAUGGUUUUAUUGGGUAAGUGGUGUUGGAGCUUUAGGGUGGAUAGACAUAGCUUAUGGUUUAAGGUGUUAUCAAGUAUGCAUGGUGAUCUUGAGGGCCUUGGGGCAAGUUUUGGGUGUUUGUACUCUAAUUUGUGGAAGGAUUUAAACAAGGGGUGGUGUGCAAGACAAUUGGUUUGAUCAUUGGUUACCUAGAGGUAUGUGCAUGAUAGUUUCAGUAGACUCUUUGGGAUCAUCCUUGAUAAAAAUCUCUCUGUUGCUUCUAUGCACAUAAUGGUGUGGGGGUUCGCAGUAGGAUUUGGUUGAAAGAGAAGUUUAUUUUAGUGAAAGAGAAAAUUAGUGGAGGGAUGUCUUUCUUUGCUUGCUAGCAUUGUUUUUAUAGAAUGAUGUUAAGGACACUUGACUUUGGCUUUUGGGACAAAGUAAUGUUUUUGUUGUGAAAUACGUCCAUCGUAUUCUAAUGAAGAAUUUUGAAGGCACAGAUGUACCGCUGCAUAAGGUUGCUUAGAAAAAAGUGGUACAUUUAAAAGUUUCUUUAGUUGUGUGACGUUUGUUGCAUAAUCGUCUACAUUUUAAGAUGGACCAAAAUAAUU